GGAAAGAUGGUUGAGUUGGCUUAAGGCACACGCUUGGAAAGCGUGCGUACUGUAACAGGUACCGGGGGUUCGAAUCCCCCUCUUUCCGCCA
RNAcentral lists this transfer RNA (91 nucleotides) under Clostridia bacterium. Its description in RNAcentral is "tRNA-Ser". It matches the Rfam family "tRNA". From Rfam's summary of the family: Transfer RNA (tRNA) molecules are approximately 80 nucleotides in length. Their secondary structure includes four short double-helical elements and three loops (D, anti-codon, and T loops). The record is from RNAcentral. Lineage: Bacteria; Bacillati; Bacillota; Clostridia.